RNAcentral lists this long non-coding RNA (1164 nucleotides) under Mytilus galloprovincialis (Mediterranean mussel). Lineage: Eukaryota; Metazoa; Mollusca; Bivalvia; Mytilida; Mytilidae. The record is from RNAcentral.
AUCAAACUAAUAGUGUGUUUGGCAGGUAAUAUGCACAAUGUCUUUGAUAUACAUUAUUUUUGUUCAAUAGUACCUCGAAGAAUGUGUAAUCCUCUGAUUUACCAUUUUGUGUAUUAAGUUAGAUAAUAAUUUAGUCGAAACAUCCUGUUUUAUUCCAAUAUGAACGAUAAAUUUAUUAUAUAAAACAGGAGUGAACUUUGGUAUAUGUGCAAGAUGCGAGCCUCGUCUACAAAAGACCCAUCAGUGACGCUCGAAUAAAAACAAGUUCAGUAAGCGAAAUAAAUAAAUGAAUACAUUAUAUCGACAAUGAUUUUUUUAUUUCAUUUAAAAAUAAAUAUUUUAGUUUAAUAUGGUUAUUUAAACAACCUUUUCAUAAAUCUGUUUCCCAAUUAUCUCUUUUUCUUUUUCAGAUAAUUAUAAAACAUUAUGGAUCCUGGUCCUGAUGGGGGACGUUAAAUUACAUCAAUUAACAAACAGUCGUCUGGUGGGAGAACGACGUUAUAAAUUGAUAAACUGUAGCAAAAUACUUCCACGUUUCACAAGUGUCUUUUAACAUCAUCACAGACUUGCUUGGCUUGUUUGUGUUUAAAACUUGAUAUGUUAAUAUUUUGCACCUGCAAAUAACCAGUUUUAUCAUUUUGGACUUUCGAUGACCGGGUUUAUUAUUUUGGACUUGGAAUUACUAGAUUGAUCUGUUUGGACAUGCAAUAACUUGAAUUAUCAUUUAAGAUUGAUAACCGAAUUUAUCCAUUUGGACUAGCAUGCAUCAGAUUUAUCAUUUUGCACAUAUCUGGACUCUUCUUUAAAUAAUUGAAAACGAUAAAGAUUUAAAAGAUAAAAUGAUAUAUACAUAAAAAAAAAAUUAAAGCUUUCUUGUAGUCUUCCUUUUACAGGUGUGUACAUUGGAAGUGGAAAUAUAUCUCAUUGAACGCAUAUUUAUGCACAAGAAAUGUAUAGUGCACGAGUGAAGUUUGCACAGGAUAGUAUCUUUAUUUUUAAACCAGAAUAUUAGCUUUGGAUUAAAAAAAAGAAAGAAGAUGAAACACAUGAAGAAGAAACACAAAGUAAUCUUAAAACAAAAGAAAAAUCGAAAUCGUUUAAAUAAUUUUCGAAAUAUUUUAUAUUACCUGGACACAUUGUAAGCAUACAUUACACUAAAACACA